RNAcentral lists this ribosomal RNA (493 nucleotides) under uncultured bacterium. Its description in RNAcentral is "partial 16S ribosomal RNA". It matches the Rfam family "Bacterial small subunit ribosomal RNA", at positions 28 to 507 of the family's 1533-position model. The record is from RNAcentral.
GACGAACGCUGGCGGCGCGCUUAACACAUGCAAGUCGAACGGAAAGGCCUGCUUUCCCUUGUGGAUUGCGGGUACUCGAGUGGCGAACGGGUGAGUAACACGUGAGUGAUCUGCCCCCAACUUGGGUAUAAGCCUGGGAAACUGGGUCUAAUUCCCGAUAGGACUGCAGGGUGGUGCCUGUGGUGGAAAACGAUUUUCUAGUGGUUGGGGAUGAGCUCGCGGCCUAUCAGCUUGUUGGUGGGGUAAUGGCCUACCAAGGCGGCGACGGGUAGCCGGCCUGGGAGGGGGGACGGGCAAUUUGGGAAUGGGAAACGGCCCGAACUCCUGCGGGGGGAGGAGAUGGGGAAUAUAGGCCAAGGGGCGGAAGCCGAAAUGCGGCGCGCCGGGUGGGGGAUUACGGCCUUGGGGGUUUAAACCCCUUUGGACCCGGAGGAAGCCACCUGGUUGGAAGGUUGGGAAGGUGAGUGGUAAAAGAAGCACGGGCAAACUCGUG